AUUGAACGCUGGCGGCAUGCCUUACACAUGCAAGUCGAACGGCAGCACGGGUGCUUGCACCUGGUGGCGAGUGGCGAACUGGUGAGUAAUACAUCGGAACGUACCUUAUCGUGGGGGAUAACGCAGCGAAAGCUGUGCUAAUACCGCAUACGCCCUGAGGGGGAAAGCGGGGGAUCGCAGGACCUCGCGCGAUUAGAGCGGCCGAUGCCUGAUUAGCUAGUUGGUGGGGUAAAAGCCCACCAAGGCGACGAUCAGUAGCUGGUCUGAGAGGACGAUCAGCCACACUGGGACUGAGACACGGCCCAGACUCCUACGGGAGGCAGCAGUGGGGAAUUUUGGACAAUGGGGGCAACCCUGAUCCAGCAAUGCCGCGUGAGUGAAGAAGGCCUUCGGGUUGUAAAGCUCUUUUGUCAGGGAAGAAACACCGGCUCUAACACAGUCCGGGAAUGACGGUACCUGAAGAAUAAGCACCGGCUAACUACGUGCCAGCCGCCGCCGUAA
This 501-nucleotide ribosomal RNA is filed under the name uncultured bacterium. RNAcentral describes it as "partial 16S ribosomal RNA". It matches the Rfam family "Bacterial small subunit ribosomal RNA", at positions 29 to 523 of the family's 1533-position model. The record is from RNAcentral.